UACUUGACUUUUAUCAAAUAAUUGGUCUUGUAUAGUUCUACUUCUACUGUUCUAUACACACGAUAAUCUUCAAAUAAUUGGUCUUGUACAGUUACUCUACCAUUCUUACACACGCUAAUCUUCAUAAAGUUUCUCACCAUUGCAAGGAAUCCCAACCAUCAAAAUUUACAUGAAGAGGCUGCUGUUGCUAUUGGGAUUCAAUGGCUUCAUCAGUUAUCAAUCUCCAACAACUAAUCCGCAAAAACUAGUUGCUCUCAAUUACGACGGUCCAACCACUGAACC
Molecule: long non-coding RNA, 282 nt
Filed under: Trifolium pratense (red clover)
Lineage: Eukaryota; Viridiplantae; Streptophyta; Magnoliopsida; Fabales; Fabaceae
Description: long non-coding RNA (TPRA_LNC003188)
Source: RNAcentral